AGAGUUUGAUUAUGGCUCAGAAUGAACGCUGGCGGCGUGCCUAACACAUGCAAGUCGGAUGUGCCGCAAGGUGCAUGGCAGACGGGUGAGUAACGCGUGGGGAACCUACCUCUUUGUGGGGAAUAACGCUCCGAAAGGAGUGGUAAUACCGCAUGAGACCUUCAGCUGGGAUGCUGGAGGUGAAACCUGGGGACCAGCAAUGGCCUGGGGCAAGGAGAGGGUCCUGCGUCUGAUUAGCUAGUUGGCGGGGUAAUGGCCCACCAAGGCAUCGAUCAGUAGCCGGCCUGAGAGGGUGAUCGGCCACACUGGAACUGAGACACGGUCCAGACUCCUACGGGAGGCAGCAGUGGGGAAUUUUGCGCAAUGGGCGAAAGCCUGACGCAGCAACGCCGCGUGGGUGAUGAAGGUCUUCGGAUUGUAAAACCCUGUCGUCAGGGACGAAGGUGCACAUGUUAACAGCGUGUGUGCUUGACGGUACCUGGAGAGGAAGCCCCGGCUAACUCUGUGCCAGCAGCCGCGGUAAU
This 524-nucleotide ribosomal RNA is filed under the name uncultured bacterium. Its description in RNAcentral is "bacterial SSU rRNA". It matches the Rfam family "Bacterial small subunit ribosomal RNA", at positions 8 to 524 of the family's 1533-position model. The record is from RNAcentral.